GUCUUGUUGACUAGAGACCGGACAUUAAAUGUUGCGAUCCUUAAACUCGUCCGAGGCGUGCUUUGGCCUCUUUCAUCCUCUGUAUGUAGGAGUUUUUUGCCUGUUCACAUCCGGCUGUCCUAGGCAUAAUGGCUGCUCGCUCUCUUACAAACGAGGGACACAAAUUGUCGGAGGCUUUGUGUGUUGCUGCUGAGUUCUUCUCUGAGUGAUUUCUGCUCUUGCAACAGUUGGAGCACUUCAUCUUCUUGACCUUGUUGUCUUCCUUGUUCAUGCAGUCCCUUGAGGUGUGACUCCCCCCACAGUAGAAACAUGUAGGGUCUUUGUCUUUGUCUUUACAGUACCUAGAGUUAGCCAUGUGACCGAAUUCUUGACAGUGAUAGCACUGGAUGGCAUGAAAACGGUCUGUAACAUAGUGCUCACUGAGGUCAAUGUUUACACAGUCUCCAUUUCGCCUUAUUGACUCCCGGGUUUCCGCACUGACUUGGAUUACAGCGUAUCUCUGCUUGUCAUCAAAGAACACAACCUUGAUGGAUUUCUCUUCUUUGGUCUCUUUAGGGUUGCCCUGUCCUGUAGUAGGCAAUGUAGCCAUAGCUGCUUUCAAUAAAUCAGGUAUUACAUCAUGGAGCUGCGUCUUUAUUAUUUUUUCAAAGUUGGGGAAAUCCUGUGGGACAGAACUUGUGACAUCUAUAGUAUCUGCAAUAGUUUUACAAAGGUUCAGGGAUUUCCGGUUGAUGUGGUCCAACUCAUCUUUCAUCUUUUUCCAUUCUUCCAUGGAUACGCGACAGUCUGACACAAACCCGGACGUUUUUACUUCCUGGUCCGCGGAAAACAUCCGCGGAUAAAGAUAAGAUUAUCUUUAUCAAGAUCAGACUAUCCAACCUCCGUUUCUUUUUUAAUGGAGCCACCCGCUAUUCAUCACUCUGUCCAGCCAUGGCGAAGAAUAGGAGAUCGCUAUCGGGACCAGAUAACCGCCGCAGGUCCACAGGCACUGUACGCGAACAGCUGAUCCUAGGAGGUGCGUUUCAGAAACAUAAUUAUUUGAAUAUAAAUGAAUUCAUUUAUUGCUGGUUAGUAAGCACAUAAAUACACCAUAAGAAAAGAGAAUGCCAACUUCACAUUUAAGAAAGAUUACUGGGGGCAGUUAAUUUCAACAUCAACAUAAGUUUAGCCUCUUUUUAUCAACAUGUGAAUUGGAAUUCAAGUGGCCUAAAAUAUUCCCUUUGGCCAAGUCCGACCGAAGUGAUUCUCACUGUUGGCGAUAACCUGAUUGAAAUCAAUACAACAAGAAAGCAUGGAUCAAAGAGGGCUUGUUUUAGUCAAUCUUCGGAAAAUUGUAGUUUCACACUAGAGACGUUAGAGGUCGGUAAUACCCGCCGUCGCGCAAUGACGUCGGUUAGGAAGAGUGGAGGCUAAUUCAUUUUAAGCAGUGCUGUCUCUUCCUAUGUUCGAAAGGAAGCACCUUUCCAUCUCUCCUUGAUCCGAUGACGUUUCCCUCAAAGGUUAUGGAAAGGAGGCAUAAAGGUUAGGAGAUUUGACUAUUCGUAGAGGCCCCCAGUCUUCAGCCACAUUCCCACCUCCUCAAAACCACUGACUGCCAUUCCCUACCCGUUCACCGGAUGCCUGCAGACAUUUUCAUCAGACUUCCUUAUUCACCUAGUUAUCUUUUCUCAUUGGUCUCGAAUUACUGAACAUCACCGUGCUGCCUACUACAUUUGGUUCCUUUCCCUACUGCCUCCCGAACCAGCAUUGACAGAAUGAACGGACAAAGGAACCAGAAAUCUUGCCUGAU
This 1789-nucleotide long non-coding RNA is filed under the name Gadus morhua (Atlantic cod). RNAcentral's name for it is "lncRNA (ENSGMOG00000034399.1)". Lineage: Eukaryota; Metazoa; Chordata; Actinopteri; Gadiformes; Gadidae. The record is from RNAcentral.